ACCUUUAGCUCAUUUUGUUAGAGCAGACGGUUCAUCAUACCCGUCUGGUCGUAGGUUCGAUUCCUACAAGUUCCA
Molecule: transfer RNA, 75 nt
Filed under: Bacillus cereus
Lineage: Bacteria; Bacillati; Bacillota; Bacilli; Caryophanales; Bacillaceae
Description: tRNA-OTHER
Rfam family: tRNA
About the family: Transfer RNA (tRNA) molecules are approximately 80 nucleotides in length. Their secondary structure includes four short double-helical elements and three loops (D, anti-codon, and T loops).
Source: RNAcentral